CGGCGAGUGAASCGGCAACAGCUCAAAUUUGAAAGCUGGCCUUCGGGUCCGCAUUGUAAUUUGUAGAGGAUGCUUUGGGUGAAACGCCAGUCUAAGUUCCUUGGAACAGGACGUCAUAGAGGGUGAGAAUCCCGUAUGUGACUGGAAAUGUUAACCUAUGUAAAGCUCCUUCGACGAGUCGAGUUGUUUGGGAAUGCAGCUCUAAAUGGGAGGUAAAUUUCUUCUAAAGCUAAAUAUUGGCGAGAGACCGAUAGCGCACAAGUAGAGUGAUCGAAAGAUGAAAAGCACUUUGGAAAGAGAGUUAAAAAGCACGUGAAAUUGUUGAAAGGGAAGCGCUUGCAAUCAGACUUGUUUAAACUGUUCGGCCGGUCUUCUGACCGGUUUACUCAGUUUGGACAGGCCAGCAUCAGUUUCGGCGGCCGGAUAAAGGCUCUGGGAAUGUGGCCUUCACUUCGGUGAAGGUGUUAUAGCCCAGGGUGUAAUACGGCCAGCCGGGACUGAGGUCCGCGCUUCNGCUAGGAUGCUGGCGUAAUGGUUGUAAGCGACCCGU
RNAcentral lists this ribosomal RNA (550 nucleotides) under Aureobasidium melanogenum. RNAcentral describes it as "partial large subunit ribosomal RNA". Lineage: Eukaryota; Fungi; Ascomycota; Dothideomycetes; Dothideales; Saccotheciaceae. The record is from RNAcentral.